AGCAGCCGCGGUAAUUCCAGCUCCAAUAGCGUAUAUUAAAGUUGUUGCAGUUAAAAAGCUCGUAGUUGAAUUUCAGGCCUGGCUGGACGGUCCGCCUUUUGGGUGAGUACUGUCUGUGGUCGGGUCCUACCUUCUGGCGAAGCGUCAUGGCCUUAACCGGCCGUGGCGGGGAACCAGGACUUUUACUGUGAAAAAAUUAGAGUGUUCAAAGCAGGCAAUCGCUUGAAUACAUUAGCAUGGAAUAAUGGAAUAGGACAAUGGUUCUAUUUGUUGGUUUCUAGGACCGUUGUAAUGAUUAAUAGGGAUAGUUGGGGGCAUUAGUAUUCAAUUGUCAGAGGUGAAAUUCUUGGAUUUAUUGAAGACUAACUACUGCGAAAGCAUUUGCCAAGGAUGUUUUCAUUAAUCAAGAACGAAAGUUAGGGGAUCGAAGACGAUCAGAUACCGUCGUAGUCUUAACCAUAAACUAUGCCGACUAGGAAUCGGGCGAUGUUGACAAAAUGACGCGCUCGGCACCUCAUGG
RNAcentral lists this ribosomal RNA (520 nucleotides) under uncultured Paraglomus. RNAcentral describes it as "SSU rRNA". It matches the Rfam family "Eukaryotic small subunit ribosomal RNA", at positions 569 to 1093 of the family's 1831-position model. Lineage: Eukaryota; Fungi; Glomeromycota; Glomeromycetes; Paraglomerales; Paraglomeraceae. The record is from RNAcentral.